RNAcentral lists this ribosomal RNA (301 nucleotides) under uncultured bacterium. RNAcentral describes it as "partial 16S ribosomal RNA". It matches the Rfam family "Bacterial small subunit ribosomal RNA", at positions 509 to 809 of the family's 1533-position model. The record is from RNAcentral.
CAGCCGCCGCGGGAACACAGAGGGUGCGAGCGUUAAUCGGAUUUACUGGGCGUAAAGCGUGCGUAGGCGGCUUCUUAAGUCGGAUGUGAAAUCCCUGAGCUUAACUUAGGAAUUGCAUUCGAUACUGGGAAGCUAGAGUAUGGGAGAGGAUGGUAGAAUUCCAGGUGUAGCGGUGAAAUGCGUAGAGAUCUGGAGGAAUACCGAUGGCGAAGGCAGCCAUCUGGCCUAAUACUGACGCUGAGGUACGAAAGCAUGGGGAGCAAACAGGAUUAGAUACCCCCGUAGUCCCUGUCUCUUAUAA